This 549-nucleotide ribosomal RNA is filed under the name uncultured bacterium. RNAcentral describes it as "bacterial SSU rRNA". It matches the Rfam family "Bacterial small subunit ribosomal RNA", at positions 773 to 1319 of the family's 1533-position model. The record is from RNAcentral.
AGUGAAUAGAUACCCCGGUAGUCCACGCCCUAAACUAUGUCAACUAGGUGUUGGGUGGGUAAAACCAUUUAGUACCGUAGCUAAACGCGUGAAAGUUGACCGCCUGGGGAGUACGGCCGCAAGGUUAAAACUCAAAGGAAUUGACGGGGACCCGCACAAGCGGUGGAUGAUGUGGAUUAAUUCGAUGCAACGCGAAAAACCUUACCUACCCUUGACAUGCCAGGAACUUGCCAGAGAUGGCUUGGUGCCCGAAAGGGAGCCUGGACACAGGUGCUGCAUGGCUGUCGUCAGCUCGUGUCGUGAGAUGUUGGGUUAAGUCCCGCAACGAGCGCAACCCUUGUCGUUAAUUGCCAUCAUUUGGUUGGGCACUUUAACGAGACUGCCGGUGACAAACCGGAGGAAGGUGGGGAUGACGUCAAGUCCUCAUGGCCCUUAUGGGUAGGGCUUCACACGUCAUACAAUGGUCGGUACAGAGGGUUGCCAAGCCGCGAGGUGAGCCAAUCCCAGAAAGCCGAUCGUAGUCCGGAUUGCAGGCUGCAACUCGCCUGC